Molecule: ribosomal RNA, 466 nt
Filed under: uncultured bacterium
Lineage: Bacteria
Description: SSU rRNA
Rfam family: Bacterial small subunit ribosomal RNA
Source: RNAcentral
AGAACGAACGCUGGCGGCAUGCCUAACACAUGCAAGUCGAACGCUUGCCGGGCUUCGGUUCGGCAGGAGUGGCGCACGGGUGAGUAGCGCGUGGGAACCUGCCCUGUUGUGGGGGAUAACCGAGGGAAACUUCGGCUAAUACCGCAUGCGCCCCCGGGAGCGAUCCUGGGGGGAAAGAUUUAUCGCAGCAGGAGGGGCCCGCGUCGGAUUAGGUAGUUGGUAGGGUAACGGCCUACCAAGCCUUUGAUCCGUAGCUGGUCUGAGAGGAUGAUCAGCCACACUGGGACUGAGACACGGCCCAGACUCCUACGGGAGGCAGCAGUGGGGAAUAUUGGACAAUGGGCGCAAGCCUGAUCCAGCAAUGCCGCGUGAGUGAUGAAGGCCUUAGGGUUGUAAAGCUCUUCGUCCGCGACGAUGAUGACGGUAGCGGAGAAGAACGCCCGGCUAACUUCGUGCCAGCAGCCGC